Molecule: non-coding RNA, 166 nt
Organism: Coturnix japonica (Japanese quail)
Lineage: Eukaryota; Metazoa; Chordata; Aves; Galliformes; Phasianidae
Source: RefSeq, a predicted model, not a curated record
GAUAUAUGGGAUCACAUAGGGGAUAUGGGAGGGACAACGGGGUCAGCAUCGAGGGGGCGUGUGAAGCGUCCCUGGCCUGUUCCACGUGUCACGUCUACGUCAGCGCCCCCCACCUGGAGCAUCUGCCCCCCCCCAGCGAGAGGGAGGAGGACCUGGACACCCCCGC